UAGGGAAUCUUCGGCAAUGGACGAAAGUCUGACCGAGCAACGCCGCGUGAGUGAAGAAGGUUUUCGGAUCGUAAAACUCUGUUGUUAGAGAAGAACAAGGACGUUAGUAACUGAACGUCCCCUGACGGUAUCUAACCAGAAAGCCACGGCUAACUACGUGCCAGCGGCCGCGGUAAUACGUAGGUGGCAAGCGUUGUCCGGAUUUAUUGGGCGUAAAGCGAGCGCAGGCGGUUUCUUAAGUCUGAUGUGAAAGCCCCCGGCUCAACCGGGGAGGGUCAUUGGAAACUGGGAGACUUGAGUGCAGAAGAGGAGAGUGGAAUUCCAUGUGUAGCGGUGAAAUGCGUAGAUAUAUGGAGGAACACCAGUGGCGAAGGCGGCUCUCUGGUCUGUAACUGACGCUGAGGCUCGAAAGCGUGGGGAGCAAACAGG
This 429-nucleotide ribosomal RNA is filed under the name Gemmatimonadota bacterium. RNAcentral describes it as "Gemmatimonadetes bacterium partial 16S ribosomal RNA". It matches the Rfam family "Bacterial small subunit ribosomal RNA", at positions 355 to 776 of the family's 1533-position model. The record is from RNAcentral. Lineage: Bacteria; Pseudomonadati; Gemmatimonadota.